UAGAGUUUGAUCCUGGCUCAGAACGAACGCUGGCGGCAGGCCUAACACAUGCAAGUCGAGCGCACCUUCGGGUGAGCGGCGGACGGGUUAGUAACGCGUGGGAACGUGCCCUUUUCUGCGGAAUAGCCACUGGAAACGGUGAGUAAUACCGCAUACGCCCUUCGGGGGAAAGAUUUAUCGGAGAAGGAUCGGCCCGCGUUAGAUUAGGUAGUUGGUGGGGUAAUGGCCUACCAAGCCUACGAUCUAUAGCUGGUUUGAGAGGAUGAUCAGCAACACUGGGACUGAGACACGGCCCAGACUCCUACGGGAGGCAGCAGUGGGGAAUCUUAGACAAUGGGGGCAACCCUGAUCUAGCCAUGCCGCGUGAGUGAUGAAGGCCUUAGGGUCGUAAAGCUCUUUCGCUGGGGAUGAUAAUGACAGUACCCAGUAAAGAAACCCCGGCUAACUCCGUGCCAGCAGCCGCGGUAAUACGGAGGGGGUUAGCGUUUGUUCGGAAUUACUGGGCGUAAAGCGCACGUAGGCGGACUGGAAAGUUAGAGGUGAAAUCCCGGGGCUC
RNAcentral lists this ribosomal RNA (556 nucleotides) under uncultured bacterium. RNAcentral describes it as "bacterial SSU rRNA". It matches the Rfam family "Bacterial small subunit ribosomal RNA", at positions 1 to 610 of the family's 1533-position model. The record is from RNAcentral.